Molecule: ribosomal RNA, 508 nt
Filed under: uncultured bacterium
Lineage: Bacteria
Description: partial 16S ribosomal RNA
Rfam family: Bacterial small subunit ribosomal RNA
Source: RNAcentral
GACGAACGCUGGCGGCGUGCCAAAUACAUGCAAGUCGAACGCUUCUUUCCUCCCGAGUGCUUGCACUCAAUUGGAAAGAGGAGUGGCGGACGGGUGAGUAACACGUGGGUAACCUACCCAUCAGAGGGGGAUAACACUUGGAAACAGGUGCUAAUACCGCAUAACAGUUUAUGCCGCAUGGCAUAAGAGUGAAAGGCGCUUUCGGGUGUCGCUGAUGGAUGGACCCGCGGUGCAUUAGCUAGUUGGUGAGGUAACGGCUCACCAAGGCCACGAUGCAUAGCCGACCUGAGAGGGUGAUCGGCCACACUGGGACUGAGACACGGCCCAGACUCCUACGGGAGGCAGCAGUAGGGAAUCUUCGGCAAUGGACGAAAGUCUGACCGAGCAACGCCGCGUGAGUGAAGAAGGUGUUCGGAUCGUAAAACUCUGUUGUUAGAGAAGAACAAGGACGUUAGUAACUGAACGUCCCCUGACGGUAUCUAACCAGAAAGCCACGGCUAACUACGUG